AGUGCCCACUCAACUGUUUUAGCUAUUGUUAAAUGUUCCCGAGAGAGUCGAUUUCAACAACCACAUCAUAUGAGAUGCUGGAAUGGCUCCUGCCUAUCGUCUCUGCACUUUGGGAGGCAGAGGCAGGAGGAUUGCUUGAGCCCAGGAGUUUGAGACCAGCCUGGACAACAUAACAAGACCUCAUCUUCACCAAAAAAAAUAGAAAAUUUAACCAGGCUGAUGGCACAUGCCUGUGGACCCAUCUACUUGGGAGGCUGAGGCAGGCAGAUUGCUUGAGCCCAUGAGGGCAAGGCUGCAGUAAGCCCUGAUCACACCACUGCACUCCAACCUGUCUCCAGACUAAAAAAAAAAAAAGCUGGAUACCAGAUUCUGGGGGAAUACAGCUAUGAGAAAUGUAAGAAUUCUCAAAUGCUUGUCACUUCCCCAUGUUGGUUUUGUUUAGCUCUGGGUGUUUUCCCACACCACUUAUUAAGAAAGUCGUUAAAGGCUGGGCACAGUGGCUCAUGCCUGUAAUCCCAGCACUUUGGGAGGCUAAGGCGGGUGGAUCACUUGAGGCCAGGAGUUCAAGACCAGCCUGGCCCACAUGGUGAAACCCCCUCUCUACUAAAAAUACAAAAAAUUAGCUGGGUGUGAUGGCGUGCACCUGUAGUCCCAGCUACUCAGGAGGCUGAGGCAGGAGAAUCCCUUGAACCCAGGAGAUGGAGGCUGCAGUGAGCCAAGAUCGCACCACUACACUUCCAGCCUGGGUGACAGAGCAAGACUGUCUGAAAAAAAAAAAAGAAAAAAAGAAAGAGAGAGAGAGAAAGAAAGAAAGAAGAAAGAGAAAGAAAGAAAGUUGUUAAAAUGAGAAGUUGAUGCAUGCCUGUUUGCAAAGGGAGAAAUUGGAGCAAUUCCAUUUUGCUCUGCAGUCAGGUUUGUGAGAAGAACCCUCCUAUCAGGGCAGGUUUAGUUUAGUAAGGUUAAUUUUUUUUCCUGUGUUUUUUUUUGUAUUGGCAUUAUAUAUUUUUUUCUUAAAAAAAUCCUUGAAAAUUCAAGUAUAGUUAAUAUUAACAGGAAACAGCCAGUCUUGCACCUGUGAACCUGCAAAAAGGCAGGGCAGGAGGAGGGGAACUGGCCACCCUAGCAGAGGACACUCAGGCUGCAUAAGGAACAGAUGCUUCUGGUGGGGACACAGGGCUCUCAGAGUGCCCACACUGUGACAGGUAAGAUUUACAGACACACAUCAACAAGGACAUUGGGGUCACUCUCCACACUUCUGU
Molecule: long non-coding RNA, 1259 nt
Filed under: Homo sapiens (human)
Lineage: Eukaryota; Metazoa; Chordata; Mammalia; Primates; Hominidae
Description: HSALNT0397575
Source: RNAcentral